Long non-coding RNA from Chiroxiphia lanceolata (lance-tailed manakin), 590 nucleotides. RefSeq lists it as uncharacterized. The transcript has 3 exons. The record is from RefSeq and is a predicted model, not a curated record. Lineage: Eukaryota; Metazoa; Chordata; Aves; Passeriformes; Pipridae.
AACAAAAAAACCCAAACAAACAAAACAAACAAACAAACAAAAAAAACAGGGAAAUUUUGUCUACCUACCCAAAGGUGAGAUUUCUCUUCUAGUAGGGCUAAAGCCCUAAAUAGUGUUUGUUUAAGUAUCUAUAGCUUAAUAGCUUUCAACAGUAGUCCCUAGCUGAGGAUCUUGAUUGUUCUUGAAUAAUUAUGGGAGGGCAUUUUGAUUUCUGCUACUACACUCUUAUGUGAAAUGCAUGCCAACACAGAGCAGAGCACCAUGUUCUGACACAGAGGAGCAUCUGUAUGGAAACAAACUUGAACUUUCAAAGGGCUCCAGUGUUGAAUCUCAAAUCUUUUCGGCAUCUUGGAAAAGUCACUGAAAAAAUCCAUUACAGAGCAGCUUAUGCUGGGAGGAGGAAACGGAGCAUGUCUUCUGCUGAAGCAUCAUGCUGUGAUGAAUGGCCAGUAGGUCUGGUGAGCCAGUUGUCCAUUCCAGUCCUGUCUUUGUGCCUGUAAAUGAGCCAGUGUAUAUCUGAAAGAAUGGGAAGUCGUCUGGAAACUUGAUCCAACUGAUCCAACAAAUAGCUCAUUGGAAGAGCACAGGUC